UACGUAGGUCCCGAGCGUUGUCCGGAUUUAUUGGGCGUAAAGCGAGCGCAGGUGGUUUAUUAAGUCUGGUGUAAAAGGCAGUGGCUCAACCAUUGUAUGCAUUGGAAACUGGUAGACUUGAGUGCAGGAGAGGAGAGUGGAAUUCCAUGUGUAGCGGUGAAAUGCGUAGAUAUAUGGAGGAACACCGGUGGCGAAAGCGGCUCUCUGGCCUGUACCUGACACUGAGGCUCGAAAGCGUGGGGAGCAAACAGG
RNAcentral lists this ribosomal RNA (252 nucleotides) under uncultured bacterium. RNAcentral's name for it is "partial 16S ribosomal RNA". It matches the Rfam family "Bacterial small subunit ribosomal RNA", at positions 524 to 776 of the family's 1533-position model. The record is from RNAcentral.